RNAcentral lists this long non-coding RNA (1249 nucleotides) under Cyanistes caeruleus (blue tit). RNAcentral describes it as "lncRNA (ENSCCEG00000012374.1)". Lineage: Eukaryota; Metazoa; Chordata; Aves; Passeriformes; Paridae. The record is from RNAcentral.
AUGAGGCAGAAGGAGGUCAGCAAGGUGGGUCUGCCCACAGGCAGUAUGCAGCUGCGACCUGGAUACUGGAUUACCAGAAUGGAUGCCAUGGCAGUUCAGACCAGCUGCUGGGAUAUGCCACUGGCUUGUGACAGAGUUACAGUGAGACGAGAGUUUUCCUCAAAGAUCUUUGUCAAUAAGGCCGAAGUGCCAAGUAGAACUGGACAUCAUCUUUAUCUUCCAAAGACAGCCCCUUCUUCCCAUUUAUAAACCAUGGAAGCAGCAAGAAAGAAAAUGAACUGCUCUUAAGCCUCUAUAUCUUCUGUUUCAUUAUACAGCAAAACUUUACACUAUGCCAGUGAUUUCAGAGCCCCAUCGUAACCUAAAGCAGAUCAAAACACAUGCCUGUCCUUUAAUUAAGCAGAGUAGAUACCUGGUUCUAAAAAAGAAAUGAAUGGGAAAUUCUUGACCAAAUUCUGCAGAAAUACAAAGUUAAGUGAGUACAAAGAGAAACCUCUCAUGACUAAGAUAUUCACAUACAGAAAAGAGAAUGGUUAGAUACCUUGAUUAUAUUUUUUUAAAAAAACCAAAAGUUAUACAAACAGAGCAUUUUAAGCUUUGUAAAAUUUUAAACUUAUGGAAGCAAGAUAUAAAUUUUCAAAAUAUUCUUAGUUAGCAGAAGAUUAUAAAUCUUACUUUCACAACUCGUGCAGAUACAGGAUGAUAUAUUGUAACUACUGUAAUGUUACAUUGCUUUCAAAUGUUCUUGUCCUGUUAAUGAAUACUAAAGAAAUUCAGUGUGGCAUGUCAUUAUGUUAACUAGUGUUAAAUUUCUAUUAACUCUUCUGCUCUGGGAACCAAAUGAGCUAUUCCUCAUGUGAGUUUAGUCUUCCUACCCAGAAUAUCUCUUGCCUGAGACCUCUUCCUCCCUAAGAGAAAGAACAGAGACAGCUCUUACAGAGCAGUUCCUGUUCCUCACCCAAGAUGGUCAAAAUCCUCACUUGGCCACAAAUUAGAGCACUAUCAAUUAAGCCAUAUUUUUUUAUUUUAUCAUACUAUCCUAGGGAUUAACCAAAAUGGAGUGUUGGAUUAUUGUUAUAUUAAAUAUCCAGCCAAGACCUUUGUUUUAGAGAACAAGAGUACAAUAUCUGACAAUAUUCUGAAUGAACCCAGAGUAUCCUGCUCAGGUCUUUAGCAUGGAAUUUGAUCCAAUGAAGUUCAUUUUCCUCAACCCUUCCAGGUUUGUCCUUAGUACUUGUCACAUCAUUAG